AGUGAACGCUGGCGGUAGGCCUAACACAUGCAAGUCGAACGGCAGCACAGUAAGAGCUUGCUCUUACGGGUGGCGAGUGGCGGACGGGUGAGGAAUACAUCGGAAUCUACUUUUUCGUGGGGGAUAACGUAGGGAAACUUACGCUAAUACCGCAUACGACCUACGGGUGAAAGCAGGGGAUCUUCGGACCUUGCGCGAUUGAAUGAGCCGAUGUCGGAUUAGCUAGUUGGCGGGGUAAAGGCCCACCAAGGCGACGAUCCGUAGCUGGUCUGAGAGGAUGAUCAGCCACACUGGAACUGAGACACGGUCCAGACUCCUACGGGAGGCAGCAGUGGGGAAUAUUGAACAAUGGGCGCAAGCCUGAUCCAGCCAUACUGCGUGGGUGAAGAAGGCCUUCGGGUUGUAAAGCCCUUUUGUUGGGAAAGAAAAGCAGCAGGUUAAUACCCCGCUGUUCUGACGGUACCCAAAGAAUAAGCACCGGCUAACUUCGUG
Molecule: ribosomal RNA, 492 nt
Filed under: uncultured bacterium
Lineage: Bacteria
Description: partial 16S ribosomal RNA
Rfam family: Bacterial small subunit ribosomal RNA
Source: RNAcentral